GGGCUGGGGCUUAGUGGUAGAGCACUUGCCUUGCACAUGUGAGGCACUGGGUUCGAUCCUCAGCAGCACA
This 70-nucleotide transfer RNA is filed under the name Marmota monax (woodchuck). Its description in RNAcentral is "tRNA.Ala". Lineage: Eukaryota; Metazoa; Chordata; Mammalia; Rodentia; Sciuridae. The record is from RNAcentral.